GAUGUCAUGUCGCGCCCCCGCCUCCAACCAACCGCUGCGGUCCCGCUACCAACAGCCGCGGCCCCGCCUCCAACCAGCCGUCGCGGCCCCGCCUCCAACCAACAGCCGCGGCCCCGCCUCCGACCCCGUGAGGCAGCCCUGUCCGGCCAUCCCCUCCGUGGUACCGCCGCAUCUGCCUCCGCUUAGGGCGAUACCUGGGGUUGCUGCCUCCGCGCCCUUGAUGCGCGCCCUGCAUCAACCCUAGCUCUGCAUCGGCUCGGGACGCCGGCGCGGCUGCUCCUCUGACGCCGUCCACCUACCACGCCGCCACUCGCCUCUACCGCACCGCCACGGCUCCUCCACUGGUUUCGCAGGCACGCGUUGUGCCGCCCCCGAUGUGCGCCUCAUGCUGACCCUGCUCCGCCUCUUCGCGUGCCUGCACGACCACGAGUGUGGGGAUCACAAUUGCGCCGCCGAUUGGUCGUCUACAACCAUCUUGACAUCUCCAAGGUUUCCUCCCAAUCCCUAUGUGAGCAGCGCCUCGAGACUUCCAGGGUAUGUCCUUAUGUGAUUUUGGCACGAGUCGAGUUCCACUUAGAGACGUCGACAACAAGACUUAGAUUGCAAUCUAGUAGUUCAGUAAAAGUUGGUAGUGCCUGGCUGAACUGAAGAUGUGACUAGAUAGUGGCUAGAAAUUUCUAGGUGGCACCCACAAUACAUGCUUACACUGUGAUGCUUACUCUCAUCAAGUUUCCAAGUGCAGAUUGGCUUGAACAAUGCUAGGUGUUGUUCAUUCGGUGUAUCUGUUGCUAUGAUAACCUGACGGCUGGGUUGUGCCGGACUGACUAGAAUCUUCUAGGUGGCAUUCACGGUACAUGCUACACCGUGAUGCUUAAGCCUUGUCAGGUAGUGAUCUAGUGACACAUAACGAAUUCACAAAUGGGUGGGCUUAUAAAAGAUAUCAAUUAUUUCUGAUGAUAUAGCCCCAACAAUUGUGUGUUGUCAUAUGGGUGGACUACAAAUGGGUGGACUUAUAAAAAAGACAUCCUAGUGGCUGAGAACUUAACUCUGAACUCUGAAGGCCCUGAUUUUGUGCUUCUCUGAUGUGAUGAAACGGUAUGCAUAUGCGGUCCUUGUAUAUAAAUAUCUGGCUUUGAAUUAUCAUGGUUUCUAGCUACUGAUUCAAAAUACAAAUGUUGAGAGUGUGGGGGCAUAGAUUUGCAGCGACUGUUGUCGAAGUUCAAAAUCUAUACAUUUCUUAUGCUUUUGCUUUGGACACUUGCCAUUAUGGAUAGUUUGGGUAAAUAACCUUUUCAUUUUCCAUAUUAGUCAGCUGGAUUGUAUCACUGGACAAUUCGUACACUUCCAGUGAUUAGCUGCAACUAGCACUGUUUUUCUCGUUACACUUGCAAAUGUAAUGUGAAUAUUAAGUGAGUCUUGAUUUUUGAAAUUUGAUCCACCCAUGUUAAGGUGGAAGCUUCUAUUUCUUUAUUGCCGCGUUUCAUCAUCUUGGCUUGCUUAUGGCGACAUUAACACUUUUCGUAGAUCUGUGUGCAUACUUUGCUAUUCUAAUUCCUGCGGGCUAUGUAUGGCAGGUUGGCAUUUACUAGUUCCGAGUGCAUCGAUUGUAAGAUCUAGCAACUUACUGUGGUUUAUUUGGUCCAUCUGCAACAAUCUCGCUUUCUUUUAUGUUAUUGUAUUUAAGAUUCUGUGCUCUAAUCAUAGAGAUACUAGUGUUCAAUGUGGUAUUUCCCAGGUUAUUUUUCUGGUUGUUUAUUUCACCAAUGUAUUAAUAUGUAGCUUUGUACGGAGAGCUGAAUAAUUCAAGUUUGAGAUUCACUUAUUUGACAAUAAAUAUUAAUUUUGAAUAUAUGCUAAUACUUUUUUGGGGAGUUUCUAGGUUUGCCACGUAAUAAUAAUUCUCCAAGAGGCUUCCGGUUCAACACACAUACCUUGAAGAACUUUAGACUGUUGCAAUCCUCAAAGCAUGCCCUCGCGCCAUUUGCGAGGUCACUAGUAGCACCAACAACACCACCCAAAGCUGCUCCUGCUGGCACUACAACCUAGCCUACCAACAGGGCUUCAACCAGAUCCCCUCCAGCAUGUCGUUAAGAUAUUCUAUGUUCUUUUACCGCAGACUGCCAUCAUAGAUACUAAAAGAACUUUGAUGGACCACAUUUUGUGCAAAAUUUUAGUUUUGAUUAAUCUGGUUCUGUUGGUAGAUACCGCAGUCCAAGACUCAUUCCAUUUUACAAUCCUCUGUUAUAUCAUAGUUCACUGUAAGUUCUGCUACAGUCCAAGAACUAGUUCUUUUUCCAAAUUGGAAAAUGUGCCCUUUAAAAAUGGCAUCCAAUUCAAACAUGGCCUUGCCCUUUUCAAGAAUAAAAACAUGUAUUCAAAUUACUGUUUUGUCAUGUUGGUUCAAUCACACCUGUUUGCUGUUUUUCUUUUGAGCAUGCAUACCAAUCAAGGGCACUCCUCCUUACGAUUUUGGGUGGUGUUCACAAGAUAACAAAUGAAGGGAUAAAGCUUAGUGGCGACCCAAGUUGUGCAAAGUCUCAAUUCUCGAAGAGCCCAUGCUGCUGGUUAUGAAAAGCAAGUCGUUGGGCCUACAUAGCCAUCCUGUUAAUGAAUGCUCUAUUGCUCCAUUUCAAAAAGAAACUGAUAACCAAGAUGCUCAGGAUUAGCAAUUGGCAAAUCGAGCAGAUGGACAUGUCGUCACUUUGGGUGAUGAAGCUCUAUAAAGCAGAAUAUGAAGCUCUAUAAACCAGGGGCGUCUUCCUCAUCCUACGCAACUAGCUUUUCAUUAUCAGAAUGAUUGAAGAUUUGGGAUGGUCAUGCUAGGGAAUCAAAGUACUCCUAAACAGAAUAUUUGAACUGUGUGUCAUUACUAUUUGAAUCUUCUACAGCAAGUAAUCCCGGGAAUUUGUUUUAUUAUUCAUUUGCACUAUUGUAUGUCUUCGAUGCGGGCCACUGACUUUUGAAAUGAUAUAUGUGUACUGAGGUUGUGUGA
Molecule: long non-coding RNA, 2992 nt
Organism: Lolium rigidum
Lineage: Eukaryota; Viridiplantae; Streptophyta; Magnoliopsida; Poales; Poaceae
Exons: 4
Source: RefSeq, a predicted model, not a curated record